AUGCAGGCUGACGAGUCCAAAAAUAAGAUGAAACGCGCGUCCUGGAU
Molecule: non-coding RNA, 47 nt
Filed under: Schistosoma mansoni
Lineage: Eukaryota; Metazoa; Platyhelminthes; Trematoda; Strigeidida; Schistosomatidae
Source: RNAcentral